RNAcentral lists this ribosomal RNA (263 nucleotides) under uncultured Escherichia sp. RNAcentral describes it as "partial 16S ribosomal RNA". It matches the Rfam family "Bacterial small subunit ribosomal RNA", at positions 1 to 268 of the family's 1533-position model. Lineage: Bacteria; Pseudomonadati; Pseudomonadota; Gammaproteobacteria; Enterobacterales; Enterobacteriaceae. The record is from RNAcentral.
UAGAGUUUGAUCCUGGCUCAGAUUGAACGCUGGCGGCAGGCCUAACACAUGCAAGUCGAACGGUAACAGGAAGAAGCUUGCUUCUUUGCUGAAGAGUGGCGGACGGGUGAGUAAUGUCUGGGAAACUGCCUGAUGGAGCGGGGAUAACUACUGGAACGGUAGCUAAUACCGCAUAACGUCGCAAGACCAAAGAGGGGGACCUUCGGGCCUCUUGCCAUCGGAUGUGCCCAGAUGGGAUUAGUAGUAGGUGGGGUACGGCUCAC